Molecule: long non-coding RNA, 320 nt
Filed under: Capsella rubella
Lineage: Eukaryota; Viridiplantae; Streptophyta; Magnoliopsida; Brassicales; Brassicaceae
Description: long non-coding RNA (CRUB_LNC000779)
Source: RNAcentral
GGGAAAUCCAAGUAGAAAUUUGCCAAUUUUAAAGAAAUUUCAUGUCAGGCAUAUGCAUAAGGGAUACGAAGAGAACAAAGAUAAAGGUAGUCGAUAAAGCCCAUAAGAAAACUUCUCCAAUCCCUAAUUUCUUCUUCUUCUUGGAGAGUUUGGUAAAAAUCUUGAAACCUCUCUAACAAUGGCGUCAACAAGAGCAAAUUCGUUUCUGCAACAUGAGUGAAAAAAUCUGAUUAAGAAGACCAAAUACAAAAACUUACAAAAAGAAAAGAAUUGUGAUAGUUACCAUUGGAUAACAAGCAUUAUUACAACUUCGGUGUUGA